CUCCAUUUACUGAUGUUUGUGGAGAAGCCCAGACGUAGAUGAUCCAAAUGAGCCCACCCUUGUGUUUCAAGCACACUCCCAACAUAUGACUAAAACGGAGAAGCCAGACAGUUACUGGAGGGACAUCUGUGCGAAAUAUGCCCAGGGCCAGUUCAAAGUUUCAACUGGCAAACGGCCAGGGGCCAAAAAGUGGAAAAAGGCCUUGGAACAAAUUCAUGCUUGCCCCUUUGAAAAUCGUAUGCAAAAUGUUAAGGAUCUGUUUGGGAGAAGCCUUCAGUGCUUGUGUGGGUUCCACAAGCCAGCAGAUCUGUCAUCAGGUGCUGGGUCCAGUGAGGCAGCAGGAGUUGAGACAGAGGCAGGGCAAGUGCGAGUCAGCACAGACGCAGAGAGAGGAGGCAUGGAGACAAGGAGAGGAGACAUGGAUUCAGGGUCAGUCCGAAACACCACAGAAGCAGGGAGAGGAGACAUAAAGGCAAGAU
Long non-coding RNA from Fundulus heteroclitus (mummichog), 479 nucleotides. RefSeq lists it as uncharacterized. The transcript is spliced from 3 exons. The record is from RefSeq and is a predicted model, not a curated record. Lineage: Eukaryota; Metazoa; Chordata; Actinopteri; Cyprinodontiformes; Fundulidae.